Molecule: long non-coding RNA, 225 nt
Filed under: Elaeis guineensis (African oil palm)
Lineage: Eukaryota; Viridiplantae; Streptophyta; Magnoliopsida; Arecales; Arecaceae
Description: long non-coding RNA (EGUI_LNC059107)
Source: RNAcentral
GGGAACACAAAAUCGACAAAGAAGAAUGCCAAACAAGAUGUUGUAGAACGUGCUUUUACAUAUAUUAUAGGUACUUUUUGGCCAAAGAAUAAUGCUAAUUAUCUGCGUACUUUGAUAAAAAAUCUUGAAAAAAUAAAUAUUUCUUUAGAAAAGAAAAAUAUGACAUUGAAUAUUGAAAACAAAUCCUUAGAAAAUGCAAUCAACAAGCAAGCAUGCGACAUUAGA